GGCGAGAUGGCCGAGCGGUCUAAGGCGCCACGUUCAGGUCGUGGUCCGAGAGGGCGUGGGUUCGAAUCCCACUCUCGUCA
Non-coding RNA from Actinomortierella wolfii, 80 nucleotides. Lineage: Eukaryota; Fungi; Mortierellomycota; Mortierellomycetes; Mortierellales; Mortierellaceae. The record is from the annotation of a GenBank genome assembly.